UUGUCCUGGCCUCUGCUUUUUCUACUCCCCUCUGUUUUUUUGGCCCCUCCUGUGCUCAGUUCUAACAAGGUAGUAUGGCAGGACACACAGCAGUCUCCUUCAGUUUAGGAGGGCUGUCUUUAGAAUAGAGCUGUCUUUUAAAGGCAUGAGAGUACAAU
This is a non-coding RNA of Aotus nancymaae (Ma's night monkey), 158 nucleotides long. The record is from Ensembl. Lineage: Eukaryota; Metazoa; Chordata; Mammalia; Primates; Aotidae.